RNAcentral lists this ribosomal RNA (1201 nucleotides) under human gut metagenome. RNAcentral describes it as "bacterial SSU rRNA". It matches the Rfam family "Bacterial small subunit ribosomal RNA", at positions 318 to 1520 of the family's 1533-position model. The record is from RNAcentral.
ACUGAGACACGGCCCAAACUCCUACGGGAGGCAGCAGUAGGGAAUUUUCGUCAAUGGGGGGAACCCUGAACGAGCAAUGCCGCGUGAGUGAGGAAGGUCUUCGGAUCGUAAAGCUCUGUUGUAAGAGAAAAACGACAUUCAUAGGGAAUGAUGAGUGAGUGAUGGUAUCUUACCAGAAAGUCACGGCUAACUACGUGCCAGCAGCCGCGGUAAUACGUAGGUGGCGAGCGUUAUCCGGAAUGAUUGGGCGUAAAGGGUGCGUAGGUGGCAGAACAAGUCUGGAGUAAAAGGUAUGGGCUCAACCCGUACUGGCUCUGGAAACUGUUCAGCUAGAGAACAGAAGAGGACGGCGGAACUCCAUGUGUAGCGGUAAAAUGCGUAGAUAUAUGGAAGAACACCGGUGGCGAAGGCGGCCGUCUGGUCUGUUGCUGACACUGAAGCACGAAAGCGUGGGGAGCAAAUAGGAUUAGAUACCCUAGUAGUCCACGCCGUAAACGAUGAGAACUAGGUGUUGGGGGAAUAACUCAGUGCCGCAGUUAACGCAAUAAGUUCUCCGCCUGGGGAGUAUGCACGCAAGUGUGAAACUCAAAGGAAUUGACGGGGGCCCGCACAAGCGGUGGAGUAUGUGGUUUAAUUCGAAGCAACGCGAAGAACCUUACCAGGCCUUGACAUCCCUUGCAGAGGUAUAGAGAUAUAUCCGAGGUUAACAAGGAGACAGGUGGUGCAUGGUUGUCGUCAGCUCGUGUCGUGAGAUGUUGGGUUAAGUCCCGCAACGAGCGCAACCCUUGUGAUAUGUUACUAACAUUGAGUUGAGGACUCAUAUCAGACUGCCGGUGAUAAACCGGAGGAAGGUGGGGAUGACGUCAAAUCAUCAUGCCCCUUAUGGCCUGGGCUACACACGUACUACAAUGGCGUCUACAAAGAGCGGCAAGCCUGUGAAGGCAAGCGAAUCUCAUAAAGGACGUCUCAGUUCGGAUUGAAGUCUGCAACCCGACUUCAUGAAGCUGGAAUCGCUAGUAAUCGCGAAUCAGCAUGUCGCGGUGAAUACGUUCUCGGGCCUUGUACACACCGCCCGUCAAACCAUGGGAGUUGGUAAUGCCCGAAGCCGGUGGCAUAACCUUUCGAGGAGUGAGCCGUCGAAGGCAGGACCGAUGACUGGGGUUAAGUCGUAACAAGGUAUCCCUACGGGAACGUGGGGAUG